GACGAACGCUGGCGGCGUGCUUAACACAUGCAAGUCGAGCGGUAAGGCCCUUUCGGGGGUACACGAGCGGCGAACGGGUGAGUAACACGUGGGUGACCUGCCCUCAGCUCUGGGAUAAGCCUGGGAAACCGGGUCUAAUACUGGAUAUGACUCCAUGACGCAUGUUGUGGGGUGGAAAGCCUUGUGCGGCUGAGGAUGGGCCCGCGGCCUAUCAGCUUGUUGGUGGGGUGAUGGCCUACCAAGGCGACGACGGGUAGCCGGCCUGAGAGGGCGACCGGCCACACUGGGACUGAGACACGGCCCAGACUCCUACGGGAGGCAGCAGUGGGGAAUCUUGCGCAAUGGGCGAAAGCCUGACGCAGCGACGCCGCGUGAGGGAUGACGGCCUGGUUGU
Molecule: ribosomal RNA, 394 nt
Filed under: uncultured bacterium
Lineage: Bacteria
Description: bacterial SSU rRNA
Rfam family: Bacterial small subunit ribosomal RNA
Source: RNAcentral